RNAcentral lists this ribosomal RNA (788 nucleotides) under uncultured bacterium. Its description in RNAcentral is "bacterial SSU rRNA". It matches the Rfam family "Bacterial small subunit ribosomal RNA", at positions 8 to 796 of the family's 1533-position model. The record is from RNAcentral.
AGAGUUUGAUCCUGGCUCAGGACGAACGCUGGCGGCGUGCUUAACACAUGCAAGUGGAGCGACGAACCGGGGCUUGCCCCGGGGCAGAGCCGCGAACGGGUGAGUAACACGUGGGUUACCUACCCCGAUGACCGGGACAACCCGAGGAAACUCGGGCUAAUACCGGAUGUGGUCUUCGGACGAAAGGAAGCUUCGGCCUCCGCAUCGGGAUGGGCCCGCGGCGCAUUAGCUUGUUGGUGGGGUAACGGCCUACCAAGGCGACGAUGCGUAGCUGGUCUGAGAGGACGAUCAGCCACACUGGGACUGAGACACGGCCCAGACUCCUACGGGAGGCAGCAGUGGGGAAUCUUGCGCAAUGCGCGAAAGCGUGACGCAGCAACGCCGCGUGGGGGAAGAAGGCCUUCGGGUUGUAAACCUCUUUCAGUUGGGACGAAGCCUCGUCGGUUAAUAGCUGGCUGAGGUGACGGUACCUUCAGAAGAAGCCCCGGCUAACUACGUGCCAGCAGCCGCGGUAAUACGUAGGGGGCAAGCGUUGUCCGGAAUCAUUGGGCGUAAAGAGCGUGUAGGCGGCCCGAUAAGUCCGCUGUGAAAGUCCAGGGCUCAACCCUGGAAUGCCGGUGGAUACUGUCGGGCUCGAAUCCGGAAGAGGUGAGUGGAAUUCCUGGUGUAGCGGUGAAAUGCGCAGAUAUCAGGAGGAACACCAAUGGCGAAGGCAGCUCACUGGGACGGUAUUGACGCUGAGACGCGAAAGCGUGGGGAGCAAACAGGAUUAGAUACCCUAGUAGUCC